Molecule: long non-coding RNA, 3556 nt
Organism: Oncorhynchus gorbuscha (pink salmon)
Lineage: Eukaryota; Metazoa; Chordata; Actinopteri; Salmoniformes; Salmonidae
Exons: 2
Source: RefSeq, a predicted model, not a curated record
AUAGGGCUCUGGUCUAAAGUUGUGCACUAGAUAGGGAAUAGGGCUCUGGUCUAUAGUAGUACCACUAUAUAGGGAAUAGGGCUCUGGUCUAAAGUUGUGCACUAGAUAGGGAAUAGGGCUUUGGUACUCUAGUAGUAGGAUGACACAUCCAUAUACUGGGUCACAUUAUUUAGUUUAGCUGCUGUUCACUCUCAGUGCCUCCCUCUACCACUCAUCCACCAUAGAAUGUUCCUACUGGCCAACUAACCACCUCUACUCCCAUCUACCAUAGAACGUUCCUACUAACCACCUCUACUCCCAUCUACCAUAGAACGUUCCUACUGGCCAACUAACCACCUCUACUACCAUUUACCAUAGAACGUUCCUACUGGCCAACUAACCACCUCUACUACCAUUUACCAUAGAACGUUCCUACUAACCACCUCUACUCCCAUUUACCAUAGAACGUUCCUACUGGCCAACUAACCACCUCUACACCCAUCUACCAUAGAACGUACCCUACUGGCCAACUAACCACCUCUAUUCCCAUUUACCAUAGAAUGUUCCUACUGGCCAACUAACCACCUCUACUCCAAUCUACCAUAGAACGUACCCUACUGGCCAACUAACCACCUCUACUCCCAUCUACCAUAGAACGUUCCUACUGGCCAACUAACCACCUCUACUCCCAUCUACCAUAGAACGUUCCUACUGGCCAACUAACCACCUCUACUCCCAUCUACCAUAGAACGUUCCUACUAACCAACUAACCACCUCUACACCCAUCUACCAUAGAACGUUCCUACUGGCCAACUAACCACCUCUACUACCAUUUACCAUAGAACGUUCCUACUAACCACCUCUACUCCCAUUUACCAUAGAACGUUCCUACUGGCCAACUAACCACCUCUACUCCCAUUUACCAUAGAACGUUCCUACUGGCCAACUAACCACCUCUACUCCCAUCUACCAUAGAACGUUCCUACUAACCACCUCUACUCCCAUUUACCAUAGAACGUUCCUACUGGCCAACUAACCACCUCUACUCCCAUCUACCAUAGAACGUUCCUACUAACCACCUCUACUCCCAUCUACCAUAGAACGUACCCUACUGGCCAACUAACCACCUCUACUCCCAUUUACCAUAGAACGUAUCCUACUGGCCAACUAACCACCUCUACACCCAUCUAACAUAGAACGUUCCUACUGGCCAACUAACCACCUCUACUCCCAUCUACCAUAGAACGUUCCUACUGGCCAACCAUCCUCUAUACAGCUCCAGCUAUCACCAGACAGACCUGGAUCAAAUACUUCUAAAUACUUGAGCUGAUUCUGUUUGCCUUGUUCAAUGGGACCAACAGAAUAGUCCCAAAAGUGCAAACCCACCAAGCUAAAUCACGCGCACCUCAAAAUACUUGGAAAUACUUUUAAAAUUAUUUCCCCGUCUUUUCUCAAAUAUGAAGUAUUUAAAAGUAUUUUUAGACACAGUUAUGUACUUUUUGGCCAGAUCUGAUCUGGCUAUUAUCACGUUGUCCAGGGUUCUCACAGUCUGUCACAUUAAAGCCUGUUUACACCAAGCUGCCUCUUACUUCAACACAGUGCAUGGCUUUCUACUUCAUUCAUAUAGUCCCAACCAAAAUGAUUAUUAUGCCUUACUAGGUCGUAGCUAGGUCAUUAUUAUUAUGCCUUACUAGGUCGUAGCUAGGUCAUUAUUAUUAUGCCUUACUAGGUCGUAGCUAGGUCAUUAUUAUUAUGCCUUACUAGGUCGUAGCUAGGUCAUUAUUAUUAUGCCUUACUAGGUCGUAGCUAGGUCAUUAUUAUUAUUAUUAGUAGUGGUAGAUAUCUGUUCUGCUGAGGUCUGCUUGUUCCAUAUUAACCCCUUCAUGUAUAUCCUCUCUCUCUAUAAGCCACCCGCUUUAGGCAGAGGAACGUAUGUAAACGUUGAGGCUCCCAGAUCUGCCUCUAAUGUAGUGAUAUUACUAUAGCCUGGUCCCAGAUCUGCCUCUAAUGUAGUGAUAUUACUAUAGCCUGGUCCCAGAUCUGCCUCUAAUGUAGUGAUAUUACUAUAGCCUGGUCCCAGAUCUGCCUCUAAUGUAGUGAUAUUACUAUAGCCUGGUCCCAGAUCUGCCUCUAAUGUAGUGAUAUUACUAUAGCCUGGUCUCAGAUCUGCCUCUAAUGUAGUGAUAUUACUAUAGCCUGGUCUCAGGUCUGUUUUCUGUUUUUGCCUCGUCCAUUGUCAAGCCAAACCAUGUUUUACAUGACAGUUCCUUAUGGAGUUGGGAAGAGAGCACAAACAGACUGGCACCCAGGCUAAUAUUACUACCACCAGAAACAGAACUAAAAUGACAUUCCUGGUGUCACUAAUGUCACUACAUCUCCUGUAUACGGACGGGAUGUUUACGUACAAACCCAAUGCCAGGGUUGGGGUGAAUUCCAUUUCAAUUCCAGUCAAUUCUGGAAGUUCGAAUUUCUCUUUUCAUUGAAAACAGUUUUUUGUGAAUUGUUUACUUUUACGAAUUGAAAUGGAAUUUGCCGCCGACCCUGGCGCUCGCAUCCAAGAGGCAGGAAACGGACAGGGUUGGCUUACAAUCGUAGGAUUAUAGGACAACGUGUAAACUACAUUUAGUCUCUAAAUGUUUAUUGAAAAACCAUAAAUCAGUUUACAUUUACAUUACAUUUAAGUCAUUUAGCAGACGCUCUUAUCCAGAGCGACUUACAAAUUUACAUCAUCGUUGUAACGUUGCCAGGUAACCCAUCUAUAGUUCCACUGUCUCAUCACUGAUCCUGCUAAGUCACGUUACUAAUAUUUCAGAGUUAGCCUGGUUAAACCAGACUCGAGUGCUGCGCUCCCCAUUUGAAACAACAGUGAAAUGUAGCUCGAUCAGUUGUGAUUUCAGGCUAACUCAGUGUGUUCUGUGAAACUCCUACCGUUAGCUGUCUCUGUGUGUGAUGGUGGUAUUGUAACCAUGGAAAUAUAGCGCUUGAGGCCCUGUGUAUGUGCGUGCGUGUGUAUAGAAGCAAAGGUAGGUAGCUGUUGAGUGUGUGAGUCCGUCUGACAGUACCAAUGGCGUUAUCUAACAGACGGUACUGUCAGCCUGUCAACGCACAACUAGAGCACCAUAUUCCCUAUCUAGUGCCCUACUGUUGACCAGGGCACAUAGGGAUUUGGUGAAAAGUAGUGCUCUAUAUAGGAUACCAUUUCGCACUAGCAGUCUAUGGAAGUGUAGAGAAGUGAUUGUUUUUGUCCUCGUUUGAAAAUUGAUUUCAAGCCUUCUCAUAUACCUCCAUUGUUUUUUAGUUUUUAAUGAACUGUGUUUUUUGGUUCAUGAUUGUGGUUGAAUUAUAAUGAAAUGCUGUCACUAUAACUGAUUGUAAUUCCAUUGUAAAACAUUUGAAAAGUCAAACGAUGUAAUUUCAAUGCAUUUUUGAGGAUUGUGUGUGUGUGUGUGUGUGUGGGGGGGGGUGUAGUCGAAACGGACGGUUUUAUGUGUUGUACAGAUUGAUCAAUUGUAUAAUUGUGUUUUUGUUUAAUCUUAAGUUAUCAAUUCAUCUUAAUAAAACGCACCGGUCAUAAACA